UUAAGUUAGAAAGGGCGCACGGUGAAUGCCUUGGCACUAGGAGCCGAUGAAGGACGGGACUAACACCGAUAUGCUUCGGGGAGCUGUAAGUGAGCUUUGAUCCGGAGAUUUCCGAAUGGGGAAACCCACUGUUCGUAAUGGAACAGUAUCUUUAUCUGAAUACAUAGGAUAUUGAAGGCAGACCCGGGGAACUGAAACAUCUAAGUACCCGGAGGAAGAGAAAGCAAAUGCGAUUUCCUGAGUAGCGGCGAGCGAAACGGAAUUAGCCCAAACCAAGAGGCUUGCCUCUUGGGGUUGUAGGACACUCUAUACGGAGUUACAAAGGAACGAAGUAAAUGAAGCGACCUGGAAAGGUCCGUCGAAGAAGGUAACAACCCUGUAGUUGAAACUUCGUUCCCUCUUGAGUGGAUCCUGAGUACGGCGGAACACGUGAAAUUCCGUCGGAAGCUGGGAGGACCAUCUCCCAAGGCUAAAUACUACCUAGUGACCGAUAGUGAACCAGUACCGUGAGGGAAAGGUGAAAAGCACCCCGGAAGGGGAGUGAAAGAGAUCCUGAAACCGUGUGCCUACAAGUAGUCAGAGCCCGUUAACGGGUGAUGGCGUGCCUUUUGUAGAAUGAACCGGCGAGUUACGAUCCCAUGCAAGGUUAAGCUGAUAAGGCGGAGCCGUAGCGAAAGCGAGUCUGAAUAGGGCGUUUAGUAUGUGGUUGUAGACCCGAAACCAGGUGAUCUACCCAUGUCCAGGGUGAAGUUCAGGUAACACUGAAUGGAGGCCCGAACCCACGCACGUUGAAAAGUGCGGGGAUGAGGUGUGGGUAGCGGAGAAAUUCCAAUCGAACCUGGAGAUAGCUGGUUCUCUCCGAAAUAGCUUUAGGGCUAGCCUCAUGUUGUGAGAGUCUUGGAGGUAGAGCACUGAUUGGACUAGGGGCCCCCAACGGGUUACCGAAUUCAGUCAAACUCCGAAUGCCAAAGACUUAUCCAUGGGAGUCAGACUGCGAGUGAUAAGAUCCGUAGUCAAAAGGGAAACAGCCCAGACCACCAGCUAAGGUCCCCAAGUAUACGUUAAGUGGAAAAGGAUGUGGAGUUGCUUAGACAACCAGGAUGUUGGCUUAGAAGCAGCCACCAUUUAAAGAGUGCGUAAUAGCUCACUGGUCGAGUGACUCUGCGCCGAAAAUGUACCGGGGCUAAACGUAUCACCGAAGCUGUGGAUUGACAUCUUUGAUGUCAGUGGUAGGAGAGCGUUCUAAGUGCAGCGAAGUCAGACCGUAAGGACUGGUGGAGCGCUUAGAAGUGAGAAUGCCGGUAUGAGUAGCGAAAGACAAGUGAGAAUCUUGUCCACCGAAUGCCUAAGGUUUCCUGAGGAAGGCUCGUCCGCUCAGGGUUAGUCGGGACCUAAGCCGAGGCUGAAAAGCGUAGGCGAUGGCCAACAGGUUGAUAUUCCUGUACCACCUCCCCGCCGUUUGAGUAAUGGGGGGACGCAGUAGGAUAGGGUAAGCGCGCUGCUGGAUAUGCGCGUUCAAGCAGUUAGGCUGAUGAGUAGGCAAAUCCGCUCAUCAUAAAGGCUGAGCUGUGAUGACGAGGGAAUUAUAGUACCGAAGUUCCUGAUUCCACACUGCCAAGAAAAGCCUCUAGCGAGGCGGGAGGUGCCCGUACCGCAAACCGACACAGGUAGGCGAGGAGAGAAUCCUAAGGUGAUCGAGAGAACUCUCGUUAAGGAACUCGGCAAAAUGACCCCGUAACUUCGGGAGAAGGGGUGCUCUGGUAGGGUGUAUAGCCCGAGAGAGCCGCAGUGAAUAGGCCCAGGCGACUGUUUAGCAAAAACACAGGUCUCUGCGAAGCCGCAAGGCGAAGUAUAGGGGCUGACGCCUGCCCGGUGCUGGAAGGUUAAGAGGAGGGGUUAUCCUUUGGGAGAAGCUCUAAAUCGAAGCCCCAGUAAACGGCGGCCGUAACUAUAACGGUCCUAAGGUAGCGAAAUUCCUUGUCGGGUAAGUUCCGACCCGCACGAAAGGCGUAACGAUCUGGGCACUGUCUCAACGAGAGACUCGGUGAAAUUAUAGUACCUGUGAAGAUGCAGGUUACCCGCGACAGGACGGAAAGACCCCGUGGAGCUUUACUGUAGCCUGAUAUUGAAUUUUGGUACAGCUUGUACAGGAUAGGUAGGAGCCUGAGAAGCCGGAGCGCUAGCUUCGGUGGAGGCGUCGGUGGGAUACUACCCUGGCUGUAUUGAAAUUCUAACCCGCGGCCCUGAUCGGGCCGGGAGACAGUGUCAGGUGGGCAGUUUGACUGGGGCGGUCGCCUCCUAAAAUGUAACGGAGGCGCCCAAAGGUUCCCUCAGAAUGGUUGGAAAUCAUUCGUAGAGUGUAAAGGCACAAGGGAGCUUGACUGCGAGACCUACAAGUCGAGCAGGGACGAAAGUCGGGCUUAGUGAUCCGGUGGUUCCGCAUGGAAGGGCCAUCGCUCAACGGAUAAAAGCUACCCCGGGGAUAACAGGCUUAUCUCCCCCAAGAGUCCACAUCGACGGGGAGGUUUGGCACCUCGAUGUCGGCUCAUCGCAUCCUGGGGCUGUAGUCGGUCCCAAGGGUUGGGCUGUUCGCCCAUUAAAGCGGUACGCGAGCUGGGUUCAGAACGUCGUGAGACAGUUCGGUCCCUAUCCGUCGUGGGCGUAGGAAAUUUGAGAGGAGCUGUCCUUAGUACGAGAGGACCGGGAUGGACACACCGCUGGUGUACCAGUUGUCUUGCCAAAGGCAUCGCUGGGUAGCUAUGUGUGGACGGGAUAAGUGCUGAAAGCAUCUAAGCAUGAAGCCCCCCUCAAGAUGAGAUUUCCCAUAGCGCAAGCUAGUAAGAUCCCUGAAAGAUGAUCAGGUUGAUAGGUCAGAGGUGGAAGCGUGGCGACAUGUGUAGCUGACUGAUACUAAUCGAUCGAGGACUUAACCAA
RNAcentral lists this ribosomal RNA (2934 nucleotides) under Priestia megaterium. Its description in RNAcentral is "bacterial LSU rRNA". It matches the Rfam family "Bacterial large subunit ribosomal RNA". The record is from RNAcentral. Lineage: Bacteria; Bacillati; Bacillota; Bacilli; Caryophanales; Bacillaceae.